GCCCACGUCCGCCACCCCGGCGAGUAGUACCGCGCACUCCGUCUCACCUUCUCGGUCACAAACGUGUACCGAAAGUGCUGCGUCACGUACUUCACGUCGCUCGCUUCCAGGCUAAACGCCUCCGUCGUCUCCAGCGUCACCUGUUGAGUAUAAAUGAUUAAAACACCGUUCUUUAAAAUCAUUCACGCACCACCUACAUAACGCGGUGAGCGUAAAAUGAGUUAAAAGCACCGUUCUUUAGCAGCUUACAUAAGUUAUAGAGCAACGGUUGUUUCACGUUACCAGAGUGAAAGAGGAAGCCGGGAGUCGCUCGACGAAGGGGCGGCGGAGACACCAGGAGAGGAGCUCGUCGCCGCUGAAGUUGCCGGGGCCGAGCAUGCAGCAGCUCUUCACGCCAUCCCGGAGGAUUUGGCUGCUCUGCAAAUGGCCU
This 430-nucleotide long non-coding RNA is filed under the name Ananas comosus (pineapple). RNAcentral's name for it is "long non-coding RNA (ACOM_LNC012743)". Lineage: Eukaryota; Viridiplantae; Streptophyta; Magnoliopsida; Poales; Bromeliaceae. The record is from RNAcentral.